Molecule: ribosomal RNA, 460 nt
Filed under: uncultured bacterium
Lineage: Bacteria
Description: partial 16S ribosomal RNA
Rfam family: Bacterial small subunit ribosomal RNA
Source: RNAcentral
CCUACGGGUGGCAGCAGUGAGGAAUAUUGGUCAAUGGACGAGAGUCUGAACCAGCCAAGUCGCGUGAAGGAUGACUGCCCUAUGGGUUGUAAACCUCUUUUGUCAGGGAACAAAACCAGGUACGUGUGCCCGUUUGCAGGUACUUUAUGAAUAAGGAUCGGCUAACUCCGUGCCAGCAGCCGCGGUAAUACGGAGGAUUCGAGCGUUAUCCGGAUUUAUUGGGUUUAAAGGGUGCGUAGGUGGGUUGUGAAGUCAGUUGUGAAAGUUUGUGGCUCAACCGUAAAAUUGCAAUUGAUACUGGCAGUCUUGAGUGCGGUUGAGGUAGGCGGAAUGCGUGGUGUAGCGGUGAAAUGCAUAGAUAUCACGCAGAACCCCGAUUGCGAAGGCAGCUUACUAAACUGUGACUGACACUGAAGCACGAAAGUGUGGGUAUCAAACAGGAUUAGAUACCCCAGUAGUC